GGCUAUGCUGGCUGGACGCAGGCAGCAAGACCAGAGCGUUGCCGUCAAUUUUCAUCAGCGGCCUCUCCGGCUCUGCCGAUGACGUGGGCCACACCCGACUUCCUCCUCGAAGGUAACUGCUCUGCGUGUGCGUAAGUGUUAUUUACGUAAACAACAACAACUGGUGUGACCACAGGAGACGACGUUGGCAGAAAACACACACCCCAUGUCGCACUGAGGCAUGCUGCUGGUCAUGUGUCUCACGUGUGACAAAAACAUACACAAACGCUUCAUGGCCACUACAGUACAGAUCACAUACAGAGAUAAUAACUCUUCCAGUAGCAGAUAACUAGGUAAACCUCCUUCUUGGAAUCAGGCCUCCUCUCAUCUUUGAUUCACUGGAGUUGGAAUAAAAUCCUUCUGUCCCACGUCAGACAUUAUUUCCAAUCUCUGAAUAAAAACUUAAUCUAAUCAACGGGCCGUUCUUUUUCCCCUUUCUCAGCCUUGGUCUGGUAAAACACGCACACACUGUGAUUUUUUCCUAGAAAUCUUUAAAUUUCCUCGCAGCUCAGCUGUGGACUGUGUUGACUUUGUCCGUCAAAGGAGCUUUUUAUUUUCUGCGACUUUCUGUACUUGCUUGAACCGCCCGUUUUCCUCUACGCUGCCCGCUGGAGUCAGAGGUCGUCUUUGUUGCCUCCACAUUGACGUGUGACUACCUGGGAAGAGGUUUGUGAACUAGUUUCAGUAUCUGGUAUUAUUCAGGACUUUUCAAAUAAAAGCUCCCUAUUUAGCUGUUGUAGGAUUUGUAGCAGCCACACCCGCUAAGGUUUCAAGCUCUGAUAUAUUAAAGGCUCAGUGUUUAGGAUUCGAUAUUAAUUAAAUCAGUAUAGUUUGUCCUGAUUGGUUUGACACAUUUCGCUGUAAGACAAAUUCAGAUAUUUUAUAUUUGUACAAGCUUUGCUGUUUAACCACCGGGGUUGAAUGAUUUCUCAGGGGGUGAAAAGUUUACAUCACUAAAUCCAUUUGACAGUUCCAAAGAUAUCCUCUGAACCGUAAAUAUCGAGGGCAGGGGAUCAAAGUCAGGAGGAUAUAUCAUCCUCUGGGGACCAUAAAUGUCCAGUUUCUGUGUUGAUGGCAGUUAUUUUCAUCCCUUGAGCAAUUCUGCCCACACGGCCAAAGAUAAGAUAUCCAGAAAUAUCAAUAAAUGUUGCAAAUGGCAUUUAGAUCAACUUUUAUAAUGUUCUAAAAGAGGAUUCAAGUUGUGUUAUGUUGUGUGUUCUGUAGGCACAGGGACUCGCUCAAUGGUUCCCUCCCUGGGCACAUGGAGUAUACGAUAUACCUUCAAUGCAACAGGUCACAACAUGCUCUCACGUGUUCCAGAGCAGCAGCUGCCCCCAUGCCGCGGUUUACACUGGUUUGACACUGGUUUGACACUGUUCUUGCUGGCCGUUAGCAGAUAUAUGGUGAGGGUGGGCGCCUGCGUUGAGAUGGACCAUUAUGUCACUGGUGCCCCAAGAAUAGUUCCAGUGUGUCCAGCGAGGCCCCGAGGCGACUGUGACGUCCAGAACCUAACUGUUGUUGGGCCAAACCCAGAGAGAAACAGGGGCCCUACUGUUUCCCUGCGUCAGGCACACCCAGCCACACACUCACACACCCCCACACACCCACCCCCACACACACACACACGUGUACAGACGACGCGCACACACAUGGAACCGUUUAAAGUUUUUCCUCUGCCACUGUUCCAAAUGCCCCCAGAAUAAACACUGGGAGCACAUCUGAGCCACUGAGCCCAACGAUCCCCAUUAAAGACAGACGGUGACGCAAUGUGAUGGAAAUGAGAGGUACUGGGUUUCAGAUGUUUUCCCAGUAUGGCGUCGCACAUGUGCUAGAAUUUAGUCAAGUGAGACUUUCAGUUGGAGCAGCAUGUCGUCACAGGCUUGGGAAAGGAGGUCAAGUCUUAUAUUGUCAUGAGAAUCCAACGUUUUGGACAUUUUCACCGACCAUGUGUAUCAAUAUUUAAUAUUAAUGUACAAACUAAAGAGCAAAUGUGUCAAUAAGUGGUUUCAACUUAUCAAAUCUGAGGAUUAGAGGAUUUUCUCAGUUUUCUAUCACUGUAAACUGUUUUAUUAAGAUUAAAACAAGACAUUUGAAAAUAAAAUCUUGGAGAAGUUAAGCUGACUGUAGGUAUGAACGUGAGUAUGAACGGCUGUUUGUCUCUAUAUGUCGGCUCUGGACAACACUGGCAUCCUGUCCUGGAUGGACCCCGCCUCUCUCCCAAUGCCAGCUGGGAUUGGCUCCAGUUCCCCAGUGACCCCUGAAGCUGGAUGGAUGGAUGGAUUCUGGACAAACUGGUGAAGUCUGUACUCAUAUAGCACUUUUUGGAAAGGAAGGAAGGAUGGAAAGAAAGAAAGAAACACAGACAAAUGGAAAUAAAGGAAAGGAGAGGAUGGAAAAAGAAAGGAGGGAAGGAAGGAAACAACCAAAACAACCCAAUAAAAUAUGGGUUAAAAGAAUAUGGGUUUAAAAUUUCCAUUUUUUUCCAAAGACAUUAAAUGCAUCAGGCUGUAUUUGGGUGUAUUUGCAUAGAACGAGACAUAUUUAAGUGAAACACAAAGAUCAUGGAGUUUUGAGUUUUAAUUAUUUCCCUUUAUAUAAAUGUUGUUAUAAGUAAAACGAAUAGAUGUGACUCCUCAGUUUGUGAUCGUUACCUCCUCCUCCUCUCCUCCUCCUCUCUUCCUCCUCUCCUCCCGCCUCCACGCCAUCCAGCCCCUUGGACGCAAGUGCUCGUCCACGCGUGUGACGUGCUCGCGCCUGCGCUUCGUUUUAAGCGGUUCUCCCACAAGCUCCGGGAUUCAGUCAGUAACACACGCGCACCGAGCAGAGGCACGAGGAUACCAGUCUGUCCCCGCGGCUUCCGUAGAGCAUCAACCCUGCGUGUAUAUGUGUGUUUGCUGUAAAUGACACUGGAGUGUUUUCAAGCUGGAGGACAGUGUGUGUUUGUGUGUGUGCGUGUUUGAACGCACAGGACUACAACCCUGCACCUGAGUUUUGGAAACUUCACCUGAGGCGCACGAGCAUCGUCGUUUGCAUGAACGCGUGCAGGUAAGAUUUUAAAACACCUCGAACUCACGUGUUGUGUUAAAAUGUUGCUUUCACUCUUUAUCUUGUGAGAAAUGUUAAUGGAGUCUGGAGAUGUUUGGAUCUUUUCCUCUAAAAUGUGGACUUUUAUCGGACUCACGCUGAACCUCGAUCAGAAAUCUGUCAAUUAAAGGUUUUCUCGUCCUUUCCUGCAAUUACACAUCACACAAUAUGUGCUUUUGUUGUUUAUAGUGGUCGUUAAGAUCGGGUGGAUAAUUCGGCUUAUAAGAGGAAGGGGCAAUUUACUCUGAAAUACGUGUUUAAGUAUUGUUUGCCACUUGUCUAGUAUUGAUUGCUAGUUGUUGGUCGAUCUUUCAUCUUGAUCUUUGAUCCUUGAUUUCGUUUAAUUGUUGUUGUCUCUUUGUAGCACUGAGAGGAGUUGCACCUAAGUUGUGUUGUGCAGCUGUUCACUGACAAUAAACGCCUGAAUUGAAUUAGUUAUAUAUUGAGAAUAAAGUGGAUGACUGGAAAAUUCAUAUAAGCAGAAUAGGGCUGGGAAAUAAGACAUUAUCUAUAAUUAUCGCAAUAUAUUUUUCCUGAAUAACGAAAUAUGAAAAGUCUGAUUUAUAUAUUGCUUUAACUUGACACAUUGAUCUACCUAAACCUGUGUGAAGUGUUUUGCUGUCAAGGGUUUUACAAAAAGAAGAGUUUAAAACCACAACCUUCAAAAAUCCAUUGUUUAAACCUAAAAAAUUAAUAAUUAUCGAUAUCGACUGAUAUAUUGGUUUUUAUCCUGGAAUGAUUUUUUGGCCUCAUCAUCCAGCCCUAUGCAGAAAUGUCCAAAAUCACAUCAGGAUGCACAUUUAGAUCUGACAGCAGAAAACAUGGAUUUAAUCAAGUGUUUGGUGUGGAACCAGUAUUGUACAGUAGUCUCGGUUCAAUGAGAACAUCAGCCUGUGUGUAAUUGUGCGUCCCGGUGCAGGUUGUGGUGUCACAGCCCGUUUGUGACUCACACGUGUGCAGGUUCACGUUCCCUGGUUUCACGAGGCACUGGAUCAACCUGCUUCUCUUUUCGUGGUGUGACACACACUCUGAGGCAUGCCAUUGUUUUGCAGGGAGACAUAUUUUAGUUUUUCUUUUUGGUGGAGGGUGGGGGGGGGUACAAAGCUGCUUCCUGCACAGGGGGUCCACUAACAAUGGCCACCAGCUUGGAACAGUCGGCGGUUCUCUGUCCCCGCGUCUGAGGAGGAGGCUCGGAUGUUGAAAGAAUGUCCGAGAAAGGAGAAAGGGGGGAAAAAAUAAAGUUUUAGCACAAUGGAGAACAUGCAGUUC
Long non-coding RNA from Platichthys flesus (European flounder), 4392 nucleotides. RefSeq lists it as uncharacterized. NCBI's taxonomy places the organism in Eukaryota, Metazoa, Chordata, Actinopteri, Pleuronectiformes, Pleuronectidae. The record is from RefSeq and is a predicted model, not a curated record. The transcript has 4 exons.